RNAcentral lists this ribosomal RNA (203 nucleotides) under uncultured bacterium. RNAcentral's name for it is "partial 16S ribosomal RNA". It matches the Rfam family "Bacterial small subunit ribosomal RNA", at positions 1297 to 1500 of the family's 1533-position model. The record is from RNAcentral.
AUUGCAGGCUGCAGCUCGCCUGCAUGAAGCUGGAAUUGCUAGUAAUCGCGGAUCAGCAAGCCGCGGUGAAUACGUUCCCGGGCCUUGUACACACCGCCCGUCACACCAUGAGAGUCGGGAACACCCGAAGUCCGUAGUCUAACCGCAAGGGGGCGCGGCCGAAGGUGGGUCCGGUAAUUGGGGUGAAGUCGUAACAAGGUACC